GGACUGUAGAGGUUUAGGAGGGUAACAUAACAACAGGACUGUAGAGGUUUAGGAGGGGUAACAUAACAGGACUGUAGAGGUUUAGGAGGGGUAACAUAACAGGACUGUAGAGGUUUAGGAGGGGUAACGUAACAGGACUGUAGAGGUUUAAGAGGGGUAACAUAACAACAGGACUGUAGAAGUUUAGGAGGGGUAACAUACAUGUACUAUGAUUCUGUUAUACUGAAAUAAAAUAUAAAUGCAGCAUCUAAAGUGUUGGUCCCAUCUUUCAUGCGCUAAAAAAAAGAUCCCAGAAAUGUUCCAGAUGUACAAAAAGCUUAUUUCUUUCAAACUGUGUGCGCAAAAUUGUUAACAUCCCUGUUAAUUAGCAUGUUAUCCUUUGAUUACAGCCUCAAGUCUUCUUGGGUAUGACACUACAAGUUCAGCACACCUAUAUUUGGGGAGUUUCUCCCAUUCUGCUCUGCAGAUCCUCUCAACCUCUGUCAGGUUGGACGGGGAGCGUCGCUACACAGCUAAUUUCAGGUCUCUCCAGAGAUGUUAGAACAGGUUCAAGCCCGGGCUCUGGCGGGGCCACUCAGAGACUUGUCCCGAAGCCACUCCUGUGUUGUCUUGGCUGUGUGCUUAGGGUUGUUGUCCUGUUAGAAGGUGAACCUUUGCCCCAGUCUGAGGUCCUGAGCGCUCUGGAGCAGGUUUUCAAUCAAGGAUCUCUCUCUACUUUGCUCCGUUCAUCUUUCCCUCGAACCUAACUAGUCUCCAAGUCUCUGCCGCUGAAAAACGUCCCCACAGGCUGAUGCUGCAAACAACGUGAGUGUAUGUAUGUGUUACAGCAUGACGUAAAAUCACUACUUUUACAUACCCCAGGGCAUUGUGAAGCAGAAUGACGCUCGUAGGUACCCUGUCUAACUGGGAGUGGGGACAGACAAUUGUAAAUGGUUUAGACGGGGCUUUACUUUAAUCAAAGUGCAGUACAGAUUCAAAGAAUGCAGGCAAUGCAAAAGCUAAACAAAUUAUGUUCUACUUCAGUCGUGCUUCUACAAAAACUACAGAUAUAACUGGGUGAUUAAUAAAUCAUGGGAUUUAUGUCAGUUGCUAGGUCUUAGCAGGUGAAGGAUUCCUUGUCUAAUG
Molecule: long non-coding RNA, 1125 nt
Organism: Oncorhynchus tshawytscha (Chinook salmon)
Lineage: Eukaryota; Metazoa; Chordata; Actinopteri; Salmoniformes; Salmonidae
Source: Ensembl